Molecule: ribosomal RNA, 229 nt
Filed under: uncultured bacterium
Lineage: Bacteria
Description: partial 16S ribosomal RNA
Rfam family: Bacterial small subunit ribosomal RNA
Source: RNAcentral
UGCGUAGGCGGAUCAAUAAGUCAGUGGUGAAAUCUUUCGGCUCAACCGAGAAACUGCCAUUGAUACUGUUAGUCUUGAGUUCGGUUGAGGUAGGCGGAAUGUGUAAUGUAGCGGUGAAAUGCUUAGAUAUUACACAGAACACCAAUUGCGUAGGCAGCUUACUAGACCGACACUGACGCUGAGGCACGAAAGCGUGGGGAGCGAACAGGAUUAGAUACCCUGGUAGUCC